AGUGUUUGUACAAACCUGGUAAUAAAACGUGUUGUGAUUCCCUUAGCCCCAACCUACAAUCGAUAUCACCCUUCAAUUAAUUGUAUACUUAAUACUUAUCUUUACCAAAACCGAAACUUCACCUUUCACCUUACCUUGACAAGUUAUAAUAGCCUCUUCUUUAAGCACUAACCGUGAUCAACUUUUAGAUCUGCACAAAUCUUA
Molecule: long non-coding RNA, 204 nt
Filed under: Gossypium barbadense (sea-island cotton)
Lineage: Eukaryota; Viridiplantae; Streptophyta; Magnoliopsida; Malvales; Malvaceae
Description: long non-coding RNA (GBAR_LNC010592)
Source: RNAcentral